CAGUCGCCACGGGAAUACGAAGGGGGCUAGCGUUGCUCGGAAUGACUGGGCGUAAAGGGCGCGUAGGCGGUUCGUACAGUUGGAUGUGAAAUUUCUGGGCUUAACCUGGGGGCUGCAUUCAAUACGUGCGGGCUAGAAUGUGGAAGAGGGUUGUGGAAUUCCCAGUGUAGAGGUGAAAUUCGUAGAUAUUGGGAAGAACACCGGUGGCGAAGGCGGCAACCUGGUCCAUAACUGACGCUGAUGCACGAAAGCUAGGGGAGCAAACAGGAUUAGAUACCCCCGUAGUCCCUGUCUCUUAUAC
RNAcentral lists this ribosomal RNA (301 nucleotides) under uncultured bacterium. Its description in RNAcentral is "partial 16S ribosomal RNA". It matches the Rfam family "Bacterial small subunit ribosomal RNA", at positions 509 to 807 of the family's 1533-position model. The record is from RNAcentral.